GCUAUUUUCAUCAAAAAAGAUAAAUAAUGGAGAGUUGGUAACCCUUUUAUAAUUUUAAUACGCGAAAACGACCCCCAGGUGACUCCUUGAACUGAUUGGUUGUGCUAGCUAGCUAGCUGAGUUGAGCUAGGUUUGGUUAUAUUAGCAUAGUGUUAGCUGAUAUGCUAAAGACGGACGUCUCACCUGUCAAACUGGGGCUGCAGUGUGUCUAAAUGGAGGAAUGUAUCCAUUAAAAAGGAACCAGGUUGGAAGAACCAAAGGACUGGACCGUGUCAAAACGCAGACUGAUUCCUAUCCUGUGAAGGGGACAUAAAUCUUCCACGGUGUGACGACUCUUGCCAAAAAAAAAUGUGACUCCUGAGGAGCCAGAGGCAUGCAGAGACUCGACAUGGAAGGAUCCACAGGGUAAAACUUCCAUGCAUGGCAUAUCCAUCUCAGCACUUAUUGCCAGGCAACCAGCAUUCAUUGCCUCCAGGAGGGACAUCUGGCCAUAUGGCCGGUAAUCAUGUACCCUCCAUCUCCAAGCAGAAAAUAAUUCCUCAAUUGGGUUCAGAAAAGGAAAUGGAGGAUUGCAUCAUCAUGCGGGGCUGUGCUGCAAACCAUUCGUUCACAAGGUGAGAGCGGUGGAAGGCAACUAUGUCCCAAAUGAUGACAUACAGAGUCAUGGCAGGCCGCAACAGCCCUC
Etheostoma spectabile (orangethroat darter) is the source of this 685-nucleotide long non-coding RNA. RefSeq lists it as uncharacterized. NCBI's taxonomy places the organism in Eukaryota, Metazoa, Chordata, Actinopteri, Perciformes, Percidae. The record is from RefSeq and is a predicted model, not a curated record. The transcript has 3 exons.